AGAGAGGGGCUAGUUUCCAGAAAUCGGUAGGGUCACACACAUGGUGGCACCUGCUCCAGACCUUGUCUGUACAGAUACAGGGCACUUCUGCUAGCUCAAGUUUUUACUUCCUCCAGGGGGAAGAGAAUGCAUGAGAGGCAGCUGUAUGCCACAACGUGCUGUCGUGGCCACCUGGUAGUGCAGAACCAGAGGGCAGGUCUGCUGCCGUUGUGCUGUGUGUGAUCUUGACCCAUGCAGAAUAUUUGGAACAGGAGUGUUUUGAACAUAAAAAGGGAAGUGUUCGAGUUGGUCUUCCCUUCUGAUAGACAAAUAUGCAUUGACAGUUCUUCUGUUUAUUCAGGAACCAUUUUGCCUUUAAAAUAGUGUUAAAAAUCCUGUUGAUUUAAUCUCUUUAGAAGUAUGUGACAAAUCAUUCUGGCUGAAGUACUGUUCCCACAUUGAUCUCUACCUUUUUAUUUUAAACCUCUUUUCCCUUGGGACAGGGUAACAUUGAGAUGUAGCCAUAAUGAUGUUCAAAAGAGCAUCAGCCAUUUUCAAGGGCAGGGAGCAGGGCAAAGGCAGGGGAAGGCAAGCAGCCAGCAAGGACUGAGCUCAGAUUUAUCUACUUCCUGAGCAAGUGGGGUGAGGAAGAAAGAAGGAUGAAGCAUGUGAUAAUUGACAGUGGGCAGUGGCCCCAAGGUCACAGCAAGAGUGAAGAUUGUUGAAGUUGGGUCUGAACCACCUCCAUCUCAGCCCUGGGAGACGUUAUCUUGGCAGCUAAUUCCGCUUUAUGGCAGACUGACCAUUAUAUGUAUAUCUCCAGAAAAACAAAAAAUUAAUCACAGGAUCAGAAUACACUCUGGAUUUUCUUCCCACGUGCAGACUACGUCUUCUGAAGUGUUGAAUCCAUGCACAGCAACACCUUCCUCAGGUUCCUCUCAGACUUUUCACCACGUGAAGCUCCAAGAGAAUCACCACGUGAGGACUGCCAGCACUCCCUCACUCGCUGACGGGGAGAACGGAGAGGGCAUGGGGAUUACUUUAGCAACAGAAAAGAAAUACACAUACAGAAUGAGAUAUCAUGUCACAGGAAAUGAGACGUCAAUGCAAAUUAACUCUGUGACUUUUACAAAAAGGCAAAACUAAGAUUUUAAGUAAGAUUUGAACAGGUCUUUUGCACUUUGUGGGACAGUCCUUCUCAUAUCGGUCUUGUGUUGGUCUCAGGUGCUGGUGCUGUUCCUUGAUUUUAUGCUGUUCCCCGGUGGUGUUAGGUCAGGACCUUCUUUUCCAGUGUUUUUUUUUUUUCUUCUCUACUUUAUGAUUCUGUCAAACACUCUUAAAGUCUUAGGUGCUCUGCAGAAAUAAUUUCUUGUGUGCAAUCUGGGUCUCUGACACCUGUCACAGACAGGCCCUCAUUUCACCUUCCCUCCUACUUAUAGCCUUUCAGCUGCCAAAAUCUAGUUUUUUUUUCCUACUGAGCUAGGCUUAAUGCCGAUAACAUAUUAUAAAUUUUAUAAAUGUAAACGUUUCUCACUUUCUCAUUUUCCAGUUUAUUUGGCCAAAUGACAGGUGGGGAUUAUAAUGCUGACUGAAUAACAGUGUCUCCCAAUGACUAUGCAAAAUAGAUUUGUAAUUUACCAUGUGCUGAAAAAAAAACUUUAAUGAAUCUGCACCUACAGCAUAGCAGUAUUCUAGUUAUGGAUUUGGAUUAGUAUUUUACUGUUUGCUUACAUACUGACUGUACUUUUAAAUUAAGACUGGCAAUAUGGAGUGUACAGAAAAAAAAAAAACAACUUUGGAGGAUCUUAUAGAAAUUUGAAGCAAGGAGGCUUCAAAGAAGAAAUUUGAAGCUCUUAGGCAUCAUAUGGAAAACAUAUGUGAAGCACAAGUUUUUUCUGCUUUUUUGACACAAGUCCACUUGAUUUACUUGUAAAGAAUUUUUAUCACAUUUUUCUUUCUUGCCAUUUCUGAUCCCCAGAGUCUUUCACCCAUAUUAUAUCAGACAAGCCAUUCUACAGAAUUUAAGACUUUGACACAUAAAGGACAACUAUUUCCACUGUAUAAAAAAGGAUUGGAUUAGCUAUGUGACAGACAGGUAAAUAGACCAAGUCGUUUAGAAAUACAUUGUCUUGAUUUAACCACGCUUAGUUUCAGCCUUAGCUUCUUUCAAUACCUGCAUGCAUUAAAGGAGUUUUUAAGGUGUCCUAACUUUCCCUCAUCUAUCAGAUGUUUUAUUUCUUCUUUUAUAUCUUGUUCCUUCUGCAUCUUUAUGUUUUUGUCUUUGUGUAGAUGACUUAAUUUGAGUUAAUAAUUAAAACUUAAUGUGAUAGAAAAUACUUUGGGAAAUACUAGUCCAAAUUAAUCAGAGGAGUUUUUGUCUGUCUUUUGUAAGUUCCUCUUAUCAGAUUGUUUUAUGAAAUAUACAGAAGUGAGAAGAACAUUGAGAUAAUCCUUCUUGCCUGUUAGUGUAAAAAUGAUUCUUCUGUCAUUCUGGGAACACCUCAGAGCAAACGUGGAUGUAGCUCUUCCCUGUAGCUACUCCUCUGGAUAAAUAAUUGUAUGUUACUGUAUGCUUAGACCUGAGCCCCAGACCAUGUUUUUAAUGCAGUGAAAAUAUUAGCAUUAAAUUCUUUACAUAUUAUUUCUCUCUAAAGAUUUAUCUUCUGUGAAUUCCCUGUAUUGCAAGGCAGUAGCAGAAAGCAUUGCUCAAAUGACAUGUAUGAAAAAAAAAAAAUCAUAUGAGAAAUCUGAUCACUUCAAUGAACAACAAAUGUUGCUACGUUGUUUUCCCACUGAAAUUUAUGACAGAAUCCAGGUGCAUUUUCUUUGAGUAUUGCAAUAAUAUUAGGUAGUGCAAUAUAAAACUUAAAUCAUUUUUUCCCAUUUGGUUAUUAAUUGCGCAUUUCUCUUAUAGUCAAGCCAUUCUCAUUUGUUGAAAUGCCAGUUCUUAAUAUAUCUCAUAAUGUCUGGUGGAGGAUGAAAUUACUCACAAGAGAGGGCCCUCAGAGAAGGAUCAAUGUAUUUAUAUUAAUGUAAAUUACCACUGAUUAAUGAAUGCUGUAACCAGUAAGGAAUUAAAUACUUACGGUAUUCCUUUUUUGGAACCUAAACUUCCAGUCAAUUUUUUAAGUUAACAGUAAGAAUAAUAUGUGAAGUACAGAAGAUAGGAGUAGUAACAGUCUAACCAGUAGUCUUUUUCCAUGAAAAGAAAUACCGUUUUGAAGAGGAAACUAAAAUCAGAGGUAAGAUAUAUGUAGAUUUAGAAACGUAUGCUGAAUGUAUACUCCAGAUGGGGUCUCACGCGAGUGGAGAAGAGGGGGGAGAAUCACCUCCUUUGACCUGCUGGUUCUUUUGAUGCAGCUUUCUGGUCUGCAAGCUCACAUAGUUUCUCUGUAACCCUGGAAUAAAUAAGUGUUUGUAAUUAUGUGUAAUUAUACU
RNAcentral lists this long non-coding RNA (3417 nucleotides) under Anas platyrhynchos platyrhynchos (common mallard). RNAcentral describes it as "lncRNA (ENSAPLG00000031207.1)". Lineage: Eukaryota; Metazoa; Chordata; Aves; Anseriformes; Anatidae. The record is from RNAcentral.